GACGAACGCUGGCGGCGUGCCUAAUACAUGCAAGUCGAGCGAGUCUGCCUUGAAGAUCGGAGUGCUUGCACUCUGUGAAACAAGAUACAGGCUAGCGGCGGACGGGUGAGUAACACGUGGGUAACCUGCCCAAGAGAUCGGGAUAACACCUGGAAACAGAUGCUAAUACCGGAUAACAACAGAUAAUGCCUAUCAACUGUUUAAAAGAUGGUUCUGCUAUCACUCUUGGAUGGACCUGCGGUGCAUUAGCUAGUUGGUAGGGUAACGGCCUACCAAGGCGAUGAUGCAUAGCCGAGUUGAGAGACUGAUCGGCCACAUUGGGACUGAGACACGGCCCAAACUCCUACGGGAGGCAGCAGUAGGGAAUCUUCCACAAUGGACGCAAGUCUGAUGGAGCAACGCCGCGUGAGUGAAGAAGGGUUUCGGCUCGUAAAGCUCUGUUGUUGGUGAAGAAGGACAGGGGUAGUAACUGACCUUUGUUUGACGGUAAUCAAUUAGAAAGUCACGGCUAACUAAGUG
This 519-nucleotide ribosomal RNA is filed under the name uncultured bacterium. RNAcentral's name for it is "partial 16S ribosomal RNA". It matches the Rfam family "Bacterial small subunit ribosomal RNA", at positions 28 to 507 of the family's 1533-position model. The record is from RNAcentral.